AACGAACGCUGGCGGCAUGCCUAACACAUGCAAGUCGAACGAGAUCUUCGGGUCUAGUGGCGCACGGGUGCGUAACGCGUGGGAAUCUGCCCUUUGGUUCGGAAUAACAGUUGGAAACGACUGCUAAUACCGGAUGAUGACGAAAGUCCAAAGAUUUAUCGCCAGAGGAUGAGCCCGCGUAGGAUUAGCUAGUUGGUGUGGUACAGGCGCACCAAGGCGACGAUCCUUAGCUGGUCUGAGAGGAUGAUCAGCCACACUGGGACUGAGACACGGUCAAGACUCCUACGGGAGGCAGCAAUAGAGAAAAUUGGACAAUGGGCGAAAGCAUGCUCCAGCAAUGCCGCGUGAGUGAUGAAGGCAUUAGGGUUGUAAACCUCUUUUACCCCGGAUGAGAAUGACCGUACCGGGAGAAUAAGCGCCGGCUAUCACCGUGGCAGCAGCCGCCGUAA
RNAcentral lists this ribosomal RNA (449 nucleotides) under uncultured bacterium. RNAcentral's name for it is "partial 16S ribosomal RNA". It matches the Rfam family "Bacterial small subunit ribosomal RNA", at positions 29 to 523 of the family's 1533-position model. The record is from RNAcentral.